Mesocricetus auratus (golden hamster) is the source of this 47-nucleotide non-coding RNA. NCBI's taxonomy places the organism in Eukaryota, Metazoa, Chordata, Mammalia, Rodentia, Cricetidae. The record is from Rfam.
UUAAAGGCUCUUUUCAGAGCCACCCAUGUCUGCACUGAAAGAACUGU